CUUUGACCAGAUUACUUCGCUAAGACAGCAGGAGCUCGCCCCAGUCAUGUUAGGCUACCUGAAGCAGCAUUACCCAUGGAGCUCAAGCUGUUGGUCCGGCACCGGCGGCCUUGGCGCUUGGCUUGAGGAGAGCUUUGGCAAAUUCUCCAUCUACGUGGAUUACCAAGACCUGCGUGUCCUCAACGCAGGCUUCGACAGCUUUGAGUCUUUGGACCUCCUGAGCGCUUCUCAAGUGGCUCAACUGACACUACACUCUGG
Puntigrus tetrazona (Sumatra barb) is the source of this 258-nucleotide long non-coding RNA. RefSeq lists it as uncharacterized. NCBI's taxonomy places the organism in Eukaryota, Metazoa, Chordata, Actinopteri, Cypriniformes, Cyprinidae. The transcript is spliced from 3 exons. The record is from RefSeq and is a predicted model, not a curated record.